UGAGCAAUCUGCCCUUCUCUUCGGAAUAAGCGUUGGAAACGACGUCUAAUGCCGAAUACGACCUCCUUUCGCAUGAUCGGAGGUGGAAAGCUCCGGCGGAGAAGGAUGAGCUCGCGGCCUAUCAGCUAGUUGGUGUGGGUAAUGGCCCACCAAGGCGACGACGGGUAGCCGGCCUGAGAGGGUGACCGGCCACACGUGGGACUGAGACACGGUCCAGACUCCGUACGGGAGGNAGCG
Molecule: ribosomal RNA, 237 nt
Filed under: uncultured bacterium
Lineage: Bacteria
Description: partial 16S ribosomal RNA
Rfam family: Bacterial small subunit ribosomal RNA
Source: RNAcentral